Transfer RNA from Ovis aries (sheep), 72 nucleotides. It matches the Rfam family "tRNA". Rfam says of the family: Transfer RNA (tRNA) molecules are approximately 80 nucleotides in length. Their secondary structure includes four short double-helical elements and three loops (D, anti-codon, and T loops). Further hydrogen bonds mediate the characteristic L-shaped molecular structure. tRNAs have two regions of fundamental functional importance: the anti-codon, which is responsible for specific mRNA codon recognition, and the 3' end, to which the tRNAs corresponding amino acid is attached (by aminoacyl-tRNA synthetases). tRNAs cope with the degeneracy of the genetic code in two manners: having more than one tRNA (with a specific anti-codon) for a particular amino acid; and 'wobble' base-pairing, i.e. permitting non-standard base-pairing at the 3rd anti-codon position. Lineage: Eukaryota; Metazoa; Chordata; Mammalia; Artiodactyla; Bovidae. The record is from Rfam.
UCCCUGGUGGCUCAGAGGGUAAAGCGUCUGCCUGCAAUGCAGGAGACCCGGGUUUGAUCCCUCGGUCGGGAA